AGUAUUCUGUACCAGGGAAGGU
This 22-nucleotide microRNA is filed under the name Pan troglodytes (chimpanzee). RNAcentral describes it as "ptr-miR-630". Its record names the gene ptr-miR-630. The record is from miRBase by way of RNAcentral. Lineage: Eukaryota; Metazoa; Chordata; Mammalia; Primates; Hominidae. RNAcentral also lists the same sequence under 2 other names.